This is a non-coding RNA of Oryctolagus cuniculus (rabbit), 2929 nucleotides long. NCBI's taxonomy places the organism in Eukaryota, Metazoa, Chordata, Mammalia, Lagomorpha, Leporidae. The record is from RefSeq and is a predicted model, not a curated record.
GCCCUCUUGCGCGCGCGCUCCUCCCCGGGGCCUCUGGGCGGCCGUUUCCCUGCAGGCUGAGGGGCGUAGCCGGAGGGACGAGGCCCCCACUGCGGUGGGGUUCCGGGCCGAGGGGCGUUGGCUGAGGAUACACUGGGGGCGGUCAAGAGACGGCCUGAGGAAAAGGAAAUUACUCUAGGAUUUGAAUCAUCACAAGAGUAUAACCAGAGGAGUGGCAGCAGACCAAGUACUUCGUAGCACCUGGGAAAUCAUUAACAUUCUGAAAAUACCACCAUGAGUGAAGCUGAGCUACAGUUCUGCCCAGGGUUUCUACUCCAAAGUCAUUCUUGAAGAUCUGAUUUGCAGUCAUAGAAAAGAGAAAAUUGACUUCAAACUGGAUGUAAUCUAUAAUAUAUGUCCUUAAGUUCAUCAUGUAUAUGAAAUCAGGGUCAUUCCAUGUAUCUUCUUUGUGUGAAGUUUUUUACCUGGGAGGUAAAUGCUGGCCAGAGUGCAUCCUAUACAAAACAGGCUGUCAGUAAUCUCAUGGCCAAGAUGACCAGAUUGUCUGUAUGAUAUGGUAUGUAUGAUAAGAUAUUGUCUGUAUGAUAUUGUCUGAUAUGUUAGAUACCUUCCCUGGUCACCUUUUUGCUAACUUAGCGAACCUAACUACAAAGUGGCCCCGGCUACAGGAAUGGAGACUGUGCAUGGACUCAGUAGCAUGUGUAUCAUCAUACUAAGGCUGGGCUGUAGUCAGCACUGAGUGCCCAGCCUGUCACGGCAAGGCCCAACUCUAAGCCUGCAGUGUGCCACUAUUUCCCAAGGAGACCAGCCCAGCUGUCUGAUACUAGCUGAUUGGUUAUAUUAGACUCCAUCAUAAAUGUGGCAGCACCUUUUCCUAGGGAAGAUAGAACGUUCUGAUACAGAUUUGUUUCCCUUCUCUACAAAUCUGCCAGCUUGGUUAACUUGCAGAGUAUCUUAUCCACUGACUUGCUAUCACACACAUUGUCUCACCCAGGGUAUGCAUUUUAUCUUGAAGGUAGUGUGGAAAUUGGCUUAUUUCUAUAAAGUUCUCUGGUCUUGCUGUGUGUUGCACUGUCCUAAAACAGUUGGCCUGGUAGAAACUGGAAUGGUGCACAAGCCUCAAUUUUAGUACUAGUUCAUAGAUAUUUUCCCUGAAAUAUUGAGGUAUUGUCCUGUAGUGUUCUACCCGUGCUUUGAAUCAGUGAUUAAUAUGAGAUGCUGUUUCUUCCAAAGCUAAAACACAUAGUUCAUCAGGCAAGGUGGAUGUGGGGAUGAUCCUGCUCAUGAUUUUAUCUGAUAACUCAUUUAUGAAAUUUUGCUUGCCAUUGUUAUGACCAUGGUUUCUGUGAGUUUGGAGUUUCUAGUUCCCAAUGGAGGAAUCCUUUAGAGGAUAAAGUCAUGGCUCUAUGAAACUAAUAACAGGUUAUUUGAUGUUACUCAUGCUGCUGAACUAGGAGAUAGCAAUGGUGUUACUGUACUGACUGGGGUGACUGACCCCCAUCACCAAAGAGCCAUUAGGUCGCUGUUACACAGUGAUGGCAAGGAGGGCUGCACAUAGAACCGAAGGGACUCUUUGGGGUAUCCUUUAGUAUUCCCAUUUUCAGUAAUAAUGAUCAAUGGGAAAUUGAGCCAACUCAAAAAGGUGGGCUCACUACAGGAUACAGAGUCUUCAGGAAUGGAGGUUUAAGUCACACGAUCAGAUAAGAAAAUUUCCCGGGCCGGUGCCGUGGCUCACUUGGCUAAUCUUCUGCCUGUGGUACCAGCACCCUGGGUUCUAGUCAUGGUUGGGGUGCCAGAUUCUGUCCCGGUUGCUCCUCUUUUGGUCCAGCUCUCUGCUGUGGCCCAGGAAGGCAGUGGAGGAUGGCCCAAGUGCUUGGGCCCUGCACUCGCAUGGGAGACCAGGAGGAAGCACCUGGUCCCUGGCUUCGGAUCGGCGCAGCGCGCUGGCUGUGGCAGCCAUUUUGGGGGGUGAACCAACAGAAGGAAGACCUUUCUCUCUGUCUCUCUCUCUCACUGUCUAACUCGGCCUGUCAAAAAAAAAAAAAAAAAAAAAAGAAUAGUGCCCAUAGGAAGUAUGAGCAGAGGAUAAGAAAACCAUGAAACUGAUUAUUAAUUACUUCUUUUUACUCUCAUCCGUCUGAACAGCAACAGAAGUGGGACUGUAGCAGUGAUCUGUUAUGUUAGUUAUUUUCUUGCCUUUCCCUGUUACCUUCUAUGAAGAAAACUGGAGAUGGCUAAUAUUACAGUUUAGGUUCUAAAUGGGAUUAUGACUGAAUUCCAAAUAACUUGAGGCUAUUCAGUAGCUGAUGGGAAUUUGUGUUCCUUCUGUUUUGGGAACAUGGCUUUGUCCUUAAGUGAAGGUUAAGGAAUGGCAAAAGGGGGGAUUGUGUUUAUUAUUCUCCCUGUCCAUCACCACCCCUGCUGUGCCUGGCUGUAAGCUCUGAAAGCAGGCUGAUCACCCAAAUGCCUUCAUCUGUGGCCUCCAAUGGGUUCUGCUAAUGGCAGGCACCAGAAUAAGGUAGAAGACAGGAAGAUAAAGAGGUUGGGUUAUCUUCCUCCUCUCCCUCUAGUUUUGUUGAAAUGUUGACAGUGACCAGGCCUUCUAAACCUAUAACUUAUAUUGGUGGCUUUUCUUUCCUGGUCUCCAGUAUUAUCAUCUUUCCUUUGGGCCUAAGGGAGUUAUAGCUUCCUAUUGUUGUAAGUCUCUGAGUAUCUCCGUAUCCCUUGUUGGAUCUCUAAAUCUUGCUCAAAUCUCUGCAAACAAUCCUAUGAUUAAAGUUACUAUACCUCACUUGAGUUGCUUCUUCUAUACCCUGACAGAUUUGGUAUGUUAGAAGGUUAGAUAGCACUGAAAAAGGCCUGAGCAGAUGACAUUCAGCAAGACACAAGGUGACCUAAUCAAAAAGUACAAUAUUUUCCAUAUAGCUUC